AAUAUUGGUCAAUGGAGGCAACUCUGAACCAGCCAUGCCGCGUGCAGGAAGAAUGCCCUCUGGGUUGUAAACUGCUUUUAUACGGGAAUAAACCCCUUUACGUGUAGAGGGCUGAAUGUACCGUAGGAAUAAGGAUCGGCUAACUCCGUGCCAGCAGCCGCGGUAAUACGGAGGAUCCGAGCGUUAUCCGGAUUUAUUGGGUUUAAAGGGUGCGUAGGCGGCCUGUUAAGUCAGGGGUGAAAGACGGUGGCUCAACCAUCGCAGUGCCCUUGAUACUGGUGGGCUUGAAUGUACUUGAGGUAGGCGGAAUGUGACAAGUAGCGGUGAAAUGCAUAGAUAUGUCACAGAACACCGAUGGCGAAGGCAGCCCCCUGGGCCGAUACUGACGCUCAUGCACGAAAGCGUGGGGAGCAAACAGG
Molecule: ribosomal RNA, 419 nt
Filed under: uncultured bacterium
Lineage: Bacteria
Description: partial 16S ribosomal RNA
Rfam family: Bacterial small subunit ribosomal RNA
Source: RNAcentral